CUGGCUCAGGAUGAACGCUGGCGGCGUGCCUAACACAUGCAAGUCGAGCGGAGAUAAGUGAAGCCUAGCGAUCUAUCUAGCGGCGGAUGGGUGAGUAACACGUGGGUAACCUGCCCUGCACUGGGGAAUAACAGCUGGAAACGGCUGUUAAUGCCGCAUAUGCGCACGGAGCCGCAUGGCUUUGGGCGGAAAGAUUUAUCGGUGCAGGAUGGGCCCGCGCCGGAUUAACUAGUUGGCGGGGUAACGGCCCACCAAGGUGAUGAUCCGUAGCCGACCUGAGAGGGUGACCGGCCACAUUGGGACUGAGACACGGCCCAAACUCCUACGGGAGGCAGCAGUGGGGGAUAUUGCACAAUGGGGGAAACCCUGAUGCAGCGACGCCGCGUGAAGGAUGAAGUAUUUCGGUAUGUAAACUUCUAUCAGCGGGGAAGAAGAUGACGGUACCCGACUAAGAAGCCCCGGCUAACUACGUGCCAGCCGCUGC
This 484-nucleotide ribosomal RNA is filed under the name uncultured bacterium. RNAcentral's name for it is "bacterial SSU rRNA". It matches the Rfam family "Bacterial small subunit ribosomal RNA", at positions 19 to 518 of the family's 1533-position model. The record is from RNAcentral.